GAUGAACGCUAGCUACAGGCUUAACACAUGCAAGUCGAGGGGCAGCGGUAUCGAAAGCUUGCUUUCGGUAGCCGGCGACCGGCGCACGGGUGAGUAACGCGUAUCGAACCUGCCUCAUACUCGGGAAUAGCCUUGCGAAAGUAAGAUUAAUGCCCGGUGUUUUCAGAGACCCGCAUGAGGCUUUGAACAAAGAUUUAUCGGUAUGAGAUGGCGAUGCGUCCCAUUAGCUUGUUGGCGGGGUAACGGCCCACCAAGGCAUCGAUGGGUAGGGGUUCUGAGAGGAAGGUCCCCCACAUUGGAACUGAGACACGGUCCAAACUCCUACGGGAGGCAGCAGUGAGGAAUAUUGGUCAAUGUGCGGAAGCCUGAACCAGCCAAGUAGCGUGCAGGAAGACGGCCCUUCGGGUUGUAAACUGCUUUUAGUUGGGAAUAAAACGGGGCUCGUGAGCCCCCUUGCAUGUACCAUCAGAAAAAGGACCGGCUAGUUCCGUG
RNAcentral lists this ribosomal RNA (492 nucleotides) under uncultured bacterium. RNAcentral describes it as "partial 16S ribosomal RNA". It matches the Rfam family "Bacterial small subunit ribosomal RNA", at positions 28 to 507 of the family's 1533-position model. The record is from RNAcentral.